GUACACUCCUGCGGGAGGCAGCAGUGGGGAAUAUUGCACAAUGGGCGCAAGCCUGAUGCAGCGACGCCGCGUGGGGGAUGAAGGCCUUCGGGUUGUAAACUCCUUUCGCUAGGGACGAAGCUUUUUUGUGACGGUACCUAGAUAAGAAGCACCGGCUAACUACGUGCCAGCAGCCGCGGUAAUACGUAGGGUGCGAGCGUUGUCCGGAAUUACUGGGCGUAAAGGGCUCGUAGGUGGUUUGUCGCGUCGUCUGUGAAAUUCUGGGGCUUAACUCCGGGCGUGCAGGCGAUACGGGCAUAACUUGAGUGCUGUAGGGGUAACUGGAAUUCCUGGUGUAGCGGUGAAAUGCGCAGAUAUCAGGAGGAACACCGAUGGCGAAGGCAGGUUACUGGGCAGUUACUGACGCUGAGGAGCGAAAGCAUGGGUAGCGAACAGGAUUAGAAACCCUUGUAGUCCCA
This 458-nucleotide ribosomal RNA is filed under the name uncultured organism. Its description in RNAcentral is "partial 16S ribosomal RNA". It matches the Rfam family "Bacterial small subunit ribosomal RNA", at positions 331 to 797 of the family's 1533-position model. The record is from RNAcentral.